CACGGUUAUGCAUGUAUUUUACAUUGAUUCUAUUAUGCCAGGGACACCUAAGAUGGAUUUUGACACUGAAGCAAUCUGACCAUCACUGUCUUGGACUGACCAGAGGUCACCUCAGCCUCUUCCAUCCCACCGUGCUUUCACAGCUGCCAAAAUGGGCCAUGAUGGGUUAGUAAGCCCCGGUGACCAUGGCUACCCUAUCAGGUUCUUCAGCCCUGCCCUGGAAGACGGUGGCCACACCCUACAUGUCUCAAGCCUUAUCUCCAGCAGGAAGCUGUCAGUCCUCUCCCCUGAAUUUCCCCCAUUCGGAUCUUUUCUUCCGCAGCCCAGCCCCCUUUUAAGCUCAUGACCCUGUCAAAGACCCCAUGGCUUAACCAAGAGUAGGUCACUGCCUUGACUGUACCUGACUGUGUGGUUCAGCGCCUGUGGACCUGGCUGUGGGAGGAGUCUGGAAAGGUUUGGAGGUGCCAGCUAGAGGAGCCCGGAUUCCAGCAGCUACUAGGUGGUGGAGUGAAAAUUAUUAAGAACUGAUAAACCUCGAAAAAGCCUGAAAGAAUAAAAAUGAUAACGUUGUCGUCCAGGGAGGCACUGAAGCAAGCCAGGGAGAGAUUUCACAUUUUAAAAUCACUGCCUCAACAAAUAAACAGUUAUAAACUACGGCUUCUUAUUUUAUUUGGACCUGUGGGCAGGCUGCUGGCAGGUACUUUUCAAGGAAAAGUAGACGGUGGCCAGGGGUGAACCCCGGAGUGGGAAUUUCUGGAGCCCCGGCUUCCUGUGAGAGACAGAGGUCAGCAGCAGAGACCGCUCCACUUGCUUUCCAGAGCAACCUUCUGGGCAGUGGUUUCCAGGCAGAGUGAGGCUCUGGGAAGCAAAGGAGGGUGUGAAAGCUUCUUCCCCCGGUGUCGGGCCAGCUGCCUCGGUCUCUUCCCCAGACGCUGGGCCGCGGGGGCAGAAGAGGUGGACGGAGGCCCACCGAGGACGCCGACAGUGGCCUCCAGUCCCUGAGUUCUUCCUCCUGGGAGCAGCCCUGGGCACAGCCACAUUUGGGCUGUGGGGGUGGUCGGGAGCCUUGGGGACCCUGAGGUGGGCCUGUGAUUUCCAGAGGAGGUUCCAGAGAAGAGAAAUGCAGACACCAAGGCCACACUCUGUCCAGGGGAAGUGGUGAUUGGAGUGGGGCAAACCAGUUAAGCCACUGUGCAGUGCUGCCAGGCAUGGAGACCCAAGACACAGGUGCAGAGCACAGAGUCCGAGCUCCUAAAUCUGUACUUGGGCCAAUCAGAAAAGUGCCACUUUUAACUCUUCAUUUACGUAUGGCAUCAAACCAAGUGUGCCUUUGAAAGGAAAGCUUCAGUCUGAUGUCAGAACUGGGGAAGUCAGGAGCAAAGGAAGCAGGGUUUACAUUUAUUGAAGGCAGGAGAAGUGCACUGAGCAUGGUGAGUGGGCCGCACUGGAAGGGAGAGCAGGUGGUUGUGAGGCCGUUUGUGUCCCCCGCUCCUCAGGCUGACAUCAGGUCCAGCUCAUCCUCCUGAAACCCAGCGUACUCUCACACAGGAACUGAAGGUGGCUCUUUCUAGCUGGUGCCAGGUGUGAGGCUUGGGAGCUGUUUUUUCUGUUCCUGUGUGCUAGUUCUCGGUGACUGACAAGCCAGGCCCACCUGCCCAGCCGGCUGGCCAAGUCUCCAUCUCCUGCCGAAGGCCAGGGCGCUCGGGCCUCUGCGCUCUGUACCCAGAGUCCAGGAGGCCUGGGGAGAGGAGGUGGUGCCGGCGGGACCGGCCUCAGGCUGCAGCGAGUGACCACCGUGCUCCGCCGUCCAGGCCUUUCACAACACGGAAGGCGGGGAGCAGGCCGUGGUGACCCGCACAGCGCCCCGCCGAGUGUGCCCAGCCCU
Long non-coding RNA from Cavia porcellus (domestic guinea pig), 1885 nucleotides. RefSeq lists it as uncharacterized. The record is from RefSeq and is a predicted model, not a curated record. Lineage: Eukaryota; Metazoa; Chordata; Mammalia; Rodentia; Caviidae. The transcript is spliced from 3 exons.